AUUACUUUGAAUAAAUUAGAGUGUUUAAAACAAAUACUUACUUUUCGUUUGUAUAGAUUAGCAUGGGAUAAUAAAAAAUGAUUUCUACAUUGGACUUUUUUCUUGUAUGGUUUAACUUGUAUCGCACUUUGUAGAAAUAAUGAUUAAUAGGAAUGGUUGGGGGUAUUCGUAUUGAAAUGUCAGAGGUGAAAUUCAUGGAUUUUUUCAAGAGGAACAUCAGCGAAAGCAUUUAUCAAGGACGUUUCCAUUAAUCAAGAACGAAAGUUGGGGGAUCGAAGAUGAUCAGAUACCGUCGUAGUCUCAACCAUAAACUAUGUCGACCAAUGAUAUCAAGUUAAUUACACACACUGUUUGUUACUUGAUGAAAUUUAAGAGAAAUUAAGAGUAUUUAGAUUCUGGGGGGAGUACGGUCGCAAGGCUGAAACUUAAAGGAAUUGACGGAAGGGCACAACAAGAUGUGGAUUUUGCGGCUUAAUUCGACUCAACACGGGAAAACUUACCAGGUCCAGACAAUUUAAGGAUUGACAGAUUAAAGAUCUUUCUUGAUUGAUUGAUUAGUGGUGCAUGGCCGUUCUUAGUUCGUGGAGUGAUUUGUCUACUUAAUUGUGUUAACGAACGAGAUCAUAACUUAUUAAUUAGUUAAAAUAUAUACUCUUUUGUGUAUGUUUUUAACCUUAAUUGGUUUUAUUUAACUUCUUAAAAGGACAUUUAAUAUUUAAAUUAAAGGAAGUUUAUGGCAAUAACAGGUCUGUGAUGCCCUUUAGAUGUUCUGGGCUGCACGCGCGAUACAAUGAAAAUUUCAAUAAGUUAUUAUUCUUUAUGAUGAUCUUCAUCAUAUUCUCCUUAAUARAAAUAUUUGGGUAAACUUUUAAAUAAUUUUCGUGGUGGGGAUUAAUAAUUGUAAUUAUUUAUUAUGAACGAGGAAUAUCUAGUAAGUAUAAUUCAUCAAAUUAUGCUGAUUACGUCCCUGCCCUUUGUACACACCGCCCGUCGCUCCUACCGAUGAAUAAUUCGAUGAAAAUUUAAGAUAUUUAAUUAACCUCUACUUGUAAGUUAAUARAAUAAAAUUUAUUUAAAUCUCAUUAUUUAGAGGAAGGAGAAGUCGUAACAAGGUAUCCGUA
RNAcentral lists this ribosomal RNA (1121 nucleotides) under Vexillifera sp. K9. Its description in RNAcentral is "bacterial SSU rRNA". It matches the Rfam family "Eukaryotic small subunit ribosomal RNA", at positions 762 to 1827 of the family's 1831-position model. Lineage: Eukaryota; Discosea; Flabellinia; Dactylopodida; Vexilliferidae. The record is from RNAcentral.